AUUGAACGCUGGCGGCAGGCCUAACACAUGCAAGUCGAGCGGAUGAAGGGAGCUUGCUCCUGGAUUCAGCGGCGGACGGGUGAGUAAUGCCUAGGAAUCUGCCUGGUAGUGGGGGAUAACGUCCGGAAACGGGCGCUAAUACCGCAUACGUCCUGAGGGAGAAAGUGGGGGAUCUUCGGACCUCACGCUAUCAGAUGAGCCUAGGUCGGAUUAGCUAGUUGGUGGGGUAAAGGCCUACCAAGGCGACGAUCCGUAACUGGUCUGAGAGGAUGAUUAGUCACACUGGAACUGAGACACGGUCCAGACUCCUACGGGAGGCAGCAGUGGGAAAUAUUGGACAAUGGGCGAAAGCCUGAUCCAGCCAUGCCGCGUGUGUGAAGAAGGUCUUCGGAUUGUAAAGCACUUUAAGUUGGGAGGAAGGGCAGUAAGUUAAUACCUUGCUGUUUUGACGUUACCAACAGAAUAAGCACCGGCUAACUUCGUG
This 484-nucleotide ribosomal RNA is filed under the name uncultured bacterium. RNAcentral's name for it is "partial 16S ribosomal RNA". It matches the Rfam family "Bacterial small subunit ribosomal RNA", at positions 30 to 507 of the family's 1533-position model. The record is from RNAcentral.